UGGGGAAUAUUGGACAAUGGGCGAAAGCCUGAUCCAGCCAUGCCGCGUGUGUGAAGAAGGUCUUCGGAUUGUAAAGCACUUUAAGGUGGGAGGAAGGGCAGUAAGCGAAUACCUUGCUGUUUUGACGUUACCGACAGAAUAAGCACCGGCUAACUCUGUGCCAGCAGCCGCGGUAAUACAGAGGGUGCAAGCGUUAAUCGGAAUUACUGGGCGUAAAGCGCGCGUAGGUGGUUCGUUAAGUUGAAUGUGAAAGCCCCGGGCUCAACCUGGGAACUGCAUCCAAAACUGGCGGGCUGGAGUAGGGCAGAGGGUGGUGGAAUUUCCUGUGUAGCGGUGAAAUGCGUAGAUAUAGGAGGGAACACCAGUGGCGAAGGCGACCACCUGGGCUCAUACUGACACUGAGGUGCGAAAGCGUGGGGGGCAAACAGG
Molecule: ribosomal RNA, 429 nt
Filed under: Pseudomonadota bacterium
Lineage: Bacteria; Pseudomonadati; Pseudomonadota
Description: Proteobacteria bacterium partial 16S ribosomal RNA
Rfam family: Bacterial small subunit ribosomal RNA
Source: RNAcentral